Molecule: transfer RNA, 83 nt
Filed under: Canis lupus familiaris (dog)
Lineage: Eukaryota; Metazoa; Chordata; Mammalia; Carnivora; Canidae
Also listed under: 1 other name
Rfam family: tRNA
About the family: Transfer RNA (tRNA) molecules are approximately 80 nucleotides in length. Their secondary structure includes four short double-helical elements and three loops (D, anti-codon, and T loops).
Source: Rfam by way of RNAcentral
GCCUGGGUGGCUCAGUGGUUGAGCAUCUGCCUUCAGCUCAGGUCGUGAUCCCAGGGUCUUGGGAUCGAGUCCCACAUUGGGCU